CCCAGACUCCUACGGGAGGCAGCAGUGGGGAAUAUUGCACAAUGGGGGAAACCCUGAUGCAGCGACGCCGCGUGAGUGAAGAAGUAUUUCGGUAUGUAAAGCUCUAUCAGCAGGGAAGAAAAUGACGGUACCUGAUUAAGAAGCCCCGGCUAACUACGUGCCAGCAGCCGCGGUAAUACGUAGGGGGCAAGCGUUAUCCGGAUUUACUGGGUGUAAAGGGAGCGUAGACGGUGAUGCAAGUCAGAAGUGAAAGCCCGGGGCUCAACUCCGGGACUGCUUUUGAAACUGUGUAACUGGAGUGCAGGAGAGGUAAGCGGAAUUCCUGGUGUAGCGGUGAAAUGCGUAGAUAUCAGGAGGAACACCAGUGGCGAAGGCGGCUUACUGGACUGUAACUGACGUUGAGGCUCGAAAGCGUGGGGAGCAAACAGGAUUAGAUACCCGAGUAAA
This 447-nucleotide ribosomal RNA is filed under the name uncultured bacterium. RNAcentral describes it as "bacterial SSU rRNA". It matches the Rfam family "Bacterial small subunit ribosomal RNA", at positions 330 to 794 of the family's 1533-position model. The record is from RNAcentral.